UUCUGAGAUGGGUAAGCACUUCCUACUGCUGCUGCUGGGCCUCUCCUUGCUGUUGGGCUUCCUGCAAGCUCUACGUUGUUACAGGUGCUAUUCGUGUCAGACCUGAUGGGAGUUGUGAACCUCGGAGAACCAUCUGCAAUGCCAAGGAAAAUGAGGAGUGCCUUCUGAUCAAGCACUAUAUUAAUUACAGGCUCUUCCGUGGAUACCAAAACUGUAGGUACAACUGCACCAACACCACCACAUUCCAAGGAACUUUUCAAACGGU
Long non-coding RNA from Loxodonta africana (African savanna elephant), 265 nucleotides. RefSeq lists it as uncharacterized. NCBI's taxonomy places the organism in Eukaryota, Metazoa, Chordata, Mammalia, Proboscidea, Elephantidae. The record is from RefSeq and is a predicted model, not a curated record. The transcript is spliced from 3 exons.